GAACGAGAAAGCGGGGGCAACUCCGCGAGUAAAGUGGCGACCGGGUGAGUAACACGUGACUAACCUGCCCUCGAGCGGGGGAUAACCCCGGGAAACCGGGGCUAAUACCGCAUAACAUCCUCGAUACGAAAGUGUUGAGGAUCAAAGGAGCAAUUCACUUGAGGAGGGGGUCGCGGCCGAUUAGCUAGUUGGUGGGGUAAUGGCCCACCAAGGCUGAGAUCGGUAGCCGGCCUGAGAGGGCGCACGGCCACACUGGAACUGAAACACGGUCCAGACUCCUACGGGAGGCAGCAGUGGGGAAUUUUGCGCAAUGGGGGAAACCCUGACGCAGCAACGCCGCGUGGAGGAUGAAGUCCCUUGGGACGUAAACUCCUUUCGACCGGGAAGAUAAUGACGGUAUCGGAAGAAGAAGCACCGGCUAACUCUGUGCCAGCAGCCGCGGUAAU
Molecule: ribosomal RNA, 446 nt
Filed under: uncultured bacterium
Lineage: Bacteria
Description: bacterial SSU rRNA
Rfam family: Bacterial small subunit ribosomal RNA
Source: RNAcentral